RNAcentral lists this non-coding RNA (23 nucleotides) under Sclerotinia trifoliorum. The record is from RNAcentral. Lineage: Eukaryota; Fungi; Ascomycota; Leotiomycetes; Helotiales; Sclerotiniaceae.
UCGAUAUGUGCCUUGAUAAAUCC